GUGGGGAAUAUUGGACAAUGGGCGAAAGCCUGAUCCAGCCAUGCCGCGUGUGUGAAGAAGGUCUUCGGAUUGUAAAGCACUUUAAGUUGGGAGGAAGGGCAGUAAGUUAAUACCUUGCUGUUUUGACGUUACCGACAGAAUAAGCACCGGCUAACUUCGUGCCAGCAGCCGCGGUAAUACGAAGGGUGCAAGCGUUAAUCGGAAUUACUGGGCGUAAAGCGCGCGUAGGUGGUUUUGUAAGUUGGAGGUGAAAUCCCCGGUCUCAACCUGGGAACUGCCUCCAAAACUGCAUGACUAGAGUACGGUAGAGGGUAGUGGAAUUUCCUGUGUAGCGGUGAAAUGCGUAGAUAUAGGAAGGAACACCAGUGGCGAAGGCGACUACCUGGACUGAUACUGACACUGAGGUGCGAAAGCGUGGGGAGCAAACAGGAUUAGAUACCCUAGUAGUCC
Molecule: ribosomal RNA, 450 nt
Filed under: uncultured bacterium
Lineage: Bacteria
Description: partial 16S ribosomal RNA
Rfam family: Bacterial small subunit ribosomal RNA
Source: RNAcentral